AUAUUACUAAGCGGAGGAGAAGAAAUUAACUAAGAUUGCCUUAGUAAGGGCGACUGAACCGGCAAGAGCUCGAAAUUAAAAUCGAAAGUUCACUGAACUUCCGAAUUGUAAUCAGGGUGCCCAAAAUACGGCAGGUCACUUAAGUGUCUCGAAAGGCACGCCAAAGAGGGUGCCAGCCCCGUAUGUGGUGCCGCCUCUUAACGAGCGGGUGUUCAACGAGUCGGGUUGUUUUGUAUUGCAGCCCUAAGUGGGAGAUAGACUUCUUCUAAGGCUAAAUAUAUAUGGGAGACCGAUAGCGCACAAGUA
This 306-nucleotide ribosomal RNA is filed under the name uncultured eukaryote. RNAcentral describes it as "partial large subunit ribosomal RNA". It matches the Rfam family "Eukaryotic large subunit ribosomal RNA", at positions 40 to 350 of the family's 3401-position model. The record is from RNAcentral.